UACGAAGGGGGCUAGCGUUGCUCGGAAUUACUGGGCGUAAAGGGCGCGUAGGCGGCCACCGCAAGUCGACUGUGAAAUCUCCGGGCUUAACCCGGAAAGGUCAGCCGAUACUGCGGGGCUAGAGUGCAGAAGGGGCAACUGGAAUUCUCGGUGUAGCGGUGAAAUGCGUAGAUAUCGAGAGGAACACCUGCGGCGAAGGCGGGUUGCUGGGCUGACACUGACGCUGAUGCGCGAAAGCUAGGGGAGCGAACGGG
Molecule: ribosomal RNA, 254 nt
Filed under: uncultured bacterium
Lineage: Bacteria
Description: partial 16S ribosomal RNA
Rfam family: Bacterial small subunit ribosomal RNA
Source: RNAcentral